UGGGGAAUAUUGGACAAUGGGCGCAAGCCUGAUCCAGCCAUGCCGCGUGAGUGAUGGAGGCCUUAGGGUUGUAAAGCUCUUUUACCAGGGAAGAUAAUGACGGUACCUGGAGAAUAAGCCCCGGCUAACUUCGUGCCAGCAGCCGCGGUAAUACGAAGGGGGCUAGCGUUGCUCGGAAUCACUGGGCGUAAAGCGCACGUAGGUGGGUCGUUAAGUCAGGGGUGAAAUCCCGGAGCUCAACUCCGGAACUGCCUUUGAUACUGGCGACCUUGGAGUCCGGGAGAGGUGAGUGGAACUGCGAGUGUAGAGGUGAAAUUCGUAGAUAUUCGCAAGAACACCAGUGGCGAAGGCGGCUCACUGGCCCGGUACUGACACUGAGGUGCGAAAGCGUGGGGAGCAAACA
Molecule: ribosomal RNA, 403 nt
Filed under: uncultured bacterium
Lineage: Bacteria
Description: bacterial SSU rRNA
Rfam family: Bacterial small subunit ribosomal RNA
Source: RNAcentral